GACGUGUGUUGGGGUGGUCGCUGUGCUGUGCGUCGGCGGCCGUGUGCGCGCCAGAGGGGUUGGAAUGAGCAACGUAUUGCCAGUCCUGUCAUGUCAACGAAGUAAUUACACCCCUUGAGGAGUGUGAGACAUCUGGCAAGAGCGUCGAAAAUCCCUGAAGAAGGAAGUGAGAAAUAGUCCUUAAGAGUGUUGAAAAAAAAUAUCCAGAUAUCUUCUUUCGUCACUGAA
Long non-coding RNA from Penaeus chinensis, 228 nucleotides. RefSeq lists it as uncharacterized. NCBI's taxonomy places the organism in Eukaryota, Metazoa, Arthropoda, Malacostraca, Decapoda, Penaeidae. The record is from RefSeq and is a predicted model, not a curated record. The transcript has 3 exons.